RNAcentral lists this ribosomal RNA (301 nucleotides) under uncultured bacterium. RNAcentral's name for it is "partial 16S ribosomal RNA". It matches the Rfam family "Bacterial small subunit ribosomal RNA", at positions 509 to 807 of the family's 1533-position model. The record is from RNAcentral.
CAGCAGCCACGGUAAUACGUAGGGUGCAAGCGUUGUCCGGAAUUAUUGGGCGUAAAGAGCUCGUAGGCGGUUUGUCGCGUCUGCUGUGAAAUCCCGAGGCUCAACCUCGGGCUUGCAGUGGGUACGGGCAGACUAGAGUGCGGUAGGGGAGAUUGGAAUUCCUGGUGUAGCGGUGGAAUGCGCAGAUAUCAGGAGGAACACCGAUGGCGAAGGCAGAUCUCUGGGCCGUAACUGACGCUGAGGAGCGAAAGCGUGGGGAGCGAACAGGAUUAGAUACCCCAGUAGUCCCUGUCUCUUAUAC